AUUGAACGCUGGCGGCAUGCCUUACACAUGCAAGUCGAACGGUAACAGGUCUUCGGAUGCUGACGAGUGGCGAACGGGUGAGUAAUACAUCGGAACGUGCCUAGUAGUGGGGGAUAACUACUCGAAAGAGUGGCUAAUACCGCAUGAGAUCUACGGAUGAAAGCAGGGGAUCGCAAGACCUUGUGCUACUAGAGCGGCCGAUGGCAGAUUAGGUAGUUGGUGGGAUAAAAGCUUACCAAGCCGACGAUCUGUAGCUGGUCUGAGAGGACGAGCAGCCACACUGGGACUGAGACACGGCCCAGACUCCGACGGGAGGCAGCAGUGGGGAAUUUUGGACAAUGGGCGAAAGCCUGAUCCAGCAAUGCCGCGCGCAGGAUGAAGGCCUUCGGGUUGUAAACUGCUUUUGUACGGAACGAAAAGCCCCGGGUUAAUACCCUGGGGUCAUGACGGUACCGUAAGAAUAAGCACCGGCUAACUACGUGCCAGCCGCCGCCGUAA
Molecule: ribosomal RNA, 498 nt
Filed under: uncultured bacterium
Lineage: Bacteria
Description: partial 16S ribosomal RNA
Rfam family: Bacterial small subunit ribosomal RNA
Source: RNAcentral